GGUUCAUUCAAAUUUCUGCCCUAUCAACUUUCGACUUUAGUGUAGUGGACUAACAUGGUUACAACGGGUAACGGAGGGUAAGGGCUCGACCCCGGAGAAGGAGCCUGAGAAACGGCUACUACAUCCAAGGAAGGCAGCAGGCGCGCAAAUUACCCAAUCCCGACCGGGGAGGUAGUGACAAUAAAUACUGAUACAGGGCUCUUUUGGGUCUUGUAAUCGGAAUGAGUACAAUUUAAAUCCCUUAACGAGGAACAAUUGGAGGGCAAGUCUGGUGCCAGCAGCCGCGGUAAUUCCAGCUCCAAUAGCGUAUAUUAAAGUUGUUGCAGUUACAAAGCUCGUAGUUG
This 344-nucleotide ribosomal RNA is filed under the name uncultured fungus. RNAcentral's name for it is "SSU rRNA". It matches the Rfam family "Eukaryotic small subunit ribosomal RNA", at positions 292 to 636 of the family's 1831-position model. Lineage: Eukaryota; Fungi. The record is from RNAcentral.